AGCGAACGCUGGCGGCGUGCCUAACACAUGCAAGUCGAACGUGAAAAGGGAAACCUGAGUAAAGUGGCGUACGGGUGAGUCACGCGUAGGUAAUCUACCCCAGAAUCUGGAAUAACCUGCCGAAAGGCGGGCUAAUACUGGAUAGAGCGAGGGAACUCGUAAGAGAGUUUUUCGGGAAAGGGAGCCCGCAAGGGCCUUCGUUCUGGGAUGAGCCUGCGUCUCAUUAGCUAGUUGGUAAGGUAACGGCUUACCAAGGCGAUGAUGAGUAGCUGGUCUGAGAGGAUGAUCAGCCACACUGGGACUGAAACACGGUCCAGACUCCUACGGGAGGCAGCAGUGGGGAAUCUUGCGCAAUGGACGAAAGUCUGACGCAGCCACGCCGCGUGAGUGAAGGAGGCCUUCGGGUUGUAAAGCUCUGUCGGAUGGGACGAACAUCUUCAUAGUGAAUAGCUAUGAGGACUGACGGUACCAUCAAAGGAAGCACCGGCUAACUCCGUG
This 498-nucleotide ribosomal RNA is filed under the name uncultured bacterium. RNAcentral's name for it is "partial 16S ribosomal RNA". It matches the Rfam family "Bacterial small subunit ribosomal RNA", at positions 29 to 507 of the family's 1533-position model. The record is from RNAcentral.